RNAcentral lists this ribosomal RNA (481 nucleotides) under uncultured bacterium. RNAcentral describes it as "partial 16S ribosomal RNA". It matches the Rfam family "Bacterial small subunit ribosomal RNA", at positions 29 to 523 of the family's 1533-position model. The record is from RNAcentral.
ACGAACGCUGGCGGCGCGCCUAACACAUGCAAGUCGAACGAGAGAGAGGGAGCUUGCUUCCUUGAUCGAGUGGCGAACGGGUGAGUAACGCGUGAGGAACCUGCCUCAAAGAGGGGGACAACAGUUGGAAACGACUGCUAAUACCGCAUAAGCCCACGACCCGGCACCGGGAAGAGGGAAAAGGAGCAACCCGCUUUGAGAUGGCCUCGCGUCCGAUUAGUGAGUUGGUGAGGUAACGGCCCACCAAGGCGACGAUCGGUAGCCGGACUGAGAGGUUGAACGGCCACAUUGGGACUGAGACACGGCCCAGACUCCUACGGGAGGCAGCAGUGGGGAAUAUUGCACAAUGGGGGAAACCCUGAUGCAGCGACGCCGCGUGGAGGAAGAAGGUCUUCGGAUUGUAAACUCCUGUUGUUGAGGAAGAUAAUGACGGUACUCAACAAGGAAGUGACGGCUAACUACGUGCCAGCCGCCGCGGUAA